This 513-nucleotide ribosomal RNA is filed under the name uncultured bacterium. RNAcentral's name for it is "bacterial SSU rRNA". It matches the Rfam family "Bacterial small subunit ribosomal RNA", at positions 15 to 518 of the family's 1533-position model. The record is from RNAcentral.
GAUUAUGGCUCAGAACGAACGCUGGCGGCGCGCUUAAGCAUGCAAGUCGAACGGCAAGAGGUAGCAAUACCUCCUAGAGUGGCGGACUGGUGAGUAACACGUGGGUGACAUACCCUUCAGAUGGGGAUAGCUAUUAGAAAUAGUAGAUAAUACCGAAUACGAGCACAGGGGUUAGAGAUCUGUGAGGAAAGGAGCUAAGGCUCCGCUGAAGGAAUGGCCUGCGGCCCAUUAGCUAGUUGGUGAGGUAAGAGCCCACCAAGGCGAUGAUGGGUAUCCGGCCUUAGAGGGUGAACGGACACAUUGGGACUGAGAUACGGCCCAGACUCCUACGGGAGGCAGCAGCUAAGAAUAUUCCGCAAUGGACGAAAGUCUGACGGAGCGACGCCGCGUGGAUGAAGAAGGCCGGAAGGUUGUAAAAUCCUUUUGAAACUGAAGAAUAAGCGUUGUAGGGAAUGACAGCGUGGUGACAGUAGGUUUUGAAUAAGCAACGGCUAAUUACGUGCCAGCCGCAGC